RNAcentral lists this small RNA (31 nucleotides) under Bombyx mori (domestic silkworm). RNAcentral's name for it is "ovarian small RNA-38097". Lineage: Eukaryota; Metazoa; Arthropoda; Insecta; Lepidoptera; Bombycidae. The record is from RNAcentral.
UUGUCCCGCCCCCUGUGCAUCCGGUGCAAAC